Molecule: ribosomal RNA, 528 nt
Filed under: uncultured bacterium
Lineage: Bacteria
Description: bacterial SSU rRNA
Rfam family: Bacterial small subunit ribosomal RNA
Source: RNAcentral
AAUAGAUACCCAGGUAGUCCACGCCCUAAACGAUGCAUAUUUGGUGUGGGCAGUUCAGUCUGUCCGUGCCGGAGCUAACGCGUUAAAUAUGCCGCCUGGAGAGUACAGUCGCAAGGCUGAAACUCAAAGGAAUUGACGGGGGCCCGCACAAGCGGUGGAGCAUGUGGUUCAAUUCGACGCAACGCGAAGAACCUUACCUGGGCUCGAACGGCUGGUCAACGGCGGUGGAAACAUCGCUACCCCGCAAGGGGGUCCAGUCGAGGUGCUGCAUGGCUGUCGUCAGCUCGUGUCGUGAGAUGUUGGGUUAAGUCCCGCAACGAGCGCAACCCUUGUCCUGUGUUGCCAUCAUUCAGUUGGGAACUCGCAGGAGACCGCCAGGGAUAACCUGGAGGAAGGUGGGGAUGACGUCAAGUCCUCAUGGCCUUUAUGUCCAGGGCUACACACGUGCUACAAUGGACGGUACAAACCGCAGCGAACCCGCGAGGGGGAGCCGAAUCGGAAAAAACCGUUCUCAGUUCGGAUUGCAGG